CCUACGGGUGGCAGCAGUGAGGAAUAUUGGUCAAUGGACGAGAGUCUGAACCAGCCAAGUAGCGUGAAGGAUGACUGCCCUAUGGGUUGUAAACUUCUUUUAUAUGGGAAUAAAAUGUUCCACGUGUGGGAUUUUGUAUGUACCAUAUGAAUAAGGAUCGGCUAACUCCGUGCCAGCAGCCGCGGUAAUACGGAGGAUCCGAGCGUUAUCCGGAUUUAUUGGGUUUAAAGGGUGCGUAGGCUGUGAGGUAAGUCAGCGGUGAAAUGCCCCCGCUCAACGGGGUGAAGUGCCAUUGAUACUGCCUUGAUGGAAUGCGGAUGCCGUGGGAGGAAUGUGUGGUGUAGCGGUGAAAUGCGUAGAUAUAUGGAAGAACACCAGUGGCGAAAGCGGCUCUCUGGUCUGUAACUGACGCUGAGGUUCGAAAGCGUGGGUAGCAAACAGGAUUAGAUACCCCAGUAGUC
This 461-nucleotide ribosomal RNA is filed under the name uncultured bacterium. RNAcentral's name for it is "partial 16S ribosomal RNA". It matches the Rfam family "Bacterial small subunit ribosomal RNA", at positions 338 to 795 of the family's 1533-position model. The record is from RNAcentral.